CAGCAGCCGCGGUAAUACGAAGGGUGCAAGCGUUACUCGGAAUUACUGGGCGUAAAGCGUGCGUAGGUGGUGGUUUAAGUCCGUUGUGAAAGCCCUGGGCUCAACCUGGGAAUUGCAGUGGAUACUGGGUCACUAGAGUGUGGUAGAGGAUAGUGGAAUUUCCGGUGUAGCAGUGAAAUGCGUAGAGGUCGGAAGGAACAUCUGUGGCGAAGGCGACUAUCUGGGCCAACACUGACACUGAGGCACGAAAGCGUGGGGAGCAAACAGGAUUAGAUACCCCGGUAGUCCCUGUCUCUUAUAC
This 301-nucleotide ribosomal RNA is filed under the name uncultured bacterium. RNAcentral describes it as "partial 16S ribosomal RNA". It matches the Rfam family "Bacterial small subunit ribosomal RNA", at positions 509 to 807 of the family's 1533-position model. The record is from RNAcentral.